GAAAAAAGUUAGUCAAAUAUUAGGGGUGGGACGAGACACCCAGCUCACGAGACGAGUCAAUACACGAGAUUGGGUUCAAGAGAUCGAGACGUGU
This is a long non-coding RNA of Sander lucioperca (pikeperch), 94 nucleotides long. RefSeq lists it as uncharacterized. The transcript is spliced from 3 exons. NCBI's taxonomy places the organism in Eukaryota, Metazoa, Chordata, Actinopteri, Perciformes, Percidae. The record is from RefSeq and is a predicted model, not a curated record.